This is a long non-coding RNA of Lytechinus variegatus (green sea urchin), 1095 nucleotides long. RefSeq lists it as uncharacterized. The record is from RefSeq and is a predicted model, not a curated record. The transcript is spliced from 2 exons. NCBI's taxonomy places the organism in Eukaryota, Metazoa, Echinodermata, Echinoidea, Temnopleuroida, Toxopneustidae.
ACAUCUAUUUGGUGUUUACCCAUUGUGUAAUUUGUGUUCUCUAUGAAUUUGAAUUGAAAAUAUUUUGAUGAUCUGGGAUUUCAUGUUAUUUGUGUAUUCUUCUCCGCAUCUUUAAGUCAUCGUCUCUCUUUCACCCUUAAAUCAAGCAGGUGAAUGAUGAGAUUGAAUUUGAUAUAUACAAUAAAAUUGGUUGAGUUCCGAAAAGGUUCUUCCAAACUGAGUUGGAAACCAAGUAUACCAGGUAUUCUGUGGUCGGAAAAUUGAUCCCAAUCAUGAGAUUCCAGGUAUUUUUGCUGGUGGAAAUCAAAUAACUUGUUACUAUUCUUAAAAAUCCUGCUAGAUAAUUUCCCAGGCCAGUGAGUACACUGGCAGUGCAGACGUCAUGAGGGGCUUGGUUGCUUGACUUGUGCACCUCAUCAGCUAUCGAGACCUUACUGCGCAAGCUCACAACUCCAAGUUCGGGUUGUAAUGAAUGUAAUUUUCUGGUUAUUCUGAGACCUGAACAAGUUUGGUGAUCAAAUCAGUUAAUUUGCAAACACCUCAAUAAAUGCAACAAAUCCAAGGUUUUAUGUUACGUCAGACAUGAAUCUUUAUUUUGAACAAAGACCAUAUUGAGCAGUCAUGCUUCUUUAUACAAAUACAGUUUAUAACAUGCCAUCAUAGUUUAUCUUAUAUACAAUUUUACAAAAGAAAUUAGGACUUGCACAAGACACAUUCAGACAAAUGAAUUACAAUCUCUAUGACUUUUUCCCCCUUGAACAUCAAGAGGUAUACUUUUUCAAAUCAGUAAUAUUUCCCUUUUUAUGUAGAUCUAUGCUUCAAUUCACACUUUGAUUUCUGUCACAGAAAACAUCAAAAUAUAUAUUUUUUUAUUAAAAGUAUGGGGUUUGAGCCUUCAGCGUAAUACAUCAGUGUGGAGAAGGAUGAAAAUAAUAGCCGUUACAAAGACACUUAUAAUGUUCAUCUCAAUUAUUCUUGUGACUCUUGUCCGUAGCAUUGGUUUGACAAUGACUCCAUCUAAAAUCUGGAAACCCAUAUCUUAGACAAUGGGUGAUUUCAAAUUUUGGUGUCGACCUUUUUUGGUGAUGGUGUAUG